AGUGAACGCUGGCGGUAGGCCUAACACAUGCAAGUCGAACGGCAGCACAGUAAGAGCUUGCUCUUACGGGUGGCGAGUGGCGGACGGGUGAGGAAUACAUCGGAAUCUACUUUUUCGUGGGGGAUGACGUAGGGAAACUUACGCUAAUACCGCAUACGACCUACGGGUGAAAGCAGGGGAUCUUCGGACCUUGCGCGAUUGAAUGAGCCGAUGUCGGAUUAGCUAGUUGGCGGGGUAAAGGCCCACCAAGGCGACGAUCCGUAGCUGGUCUGAGAGGAUGAUCAGCCACACUGGAACUGAGACACGGUCCAGACUCCUACGGGAGGCAGCAGUGGGGAAUAUUGGACAAUGGGCGCAAGCCUGAUCCAGCCAUACCGCGUGUGUGAAGAAGGCCUUCGGGUUGUAAAGCCCUUUUGUUGGGAAAGAAAAGCAGCAGGUUAAUACCCCGCUGUUCUGACGGUACCCAAAGAAUAAGCACCGGCUAACUUCGUG
RNAcentral lists this ribosomal RNA (492 nucleotides) under uncultured bacterium. RNAcentral's name for it is "partial 16S ribosomal RNA". It matches the Rfam family "Bacterial small subunit ribosomal RNA", at positions 29 to 507 of the family's 1533-position model. The record is from RNAcentral.